AAUCAAGAUUGAAGUGCUUUAUUGACUUACUAACACCACAUAAUUAAAGUGAUCAGUGAACUAUCCACUUGGGAUCAAUACCAGUACAGUACAACAGGUAAAUCACAAUAUUAGACUCUUGUAAAUUAUUAACAAACAAGAAUUUCUACAUACCUUUCUAAAACCCCCAGAAGUGACAAAUCCACCCAUAACCACCAGCACACUCACCCGUCCUGGGCAUGGGGUUUCCCUGACAUGCUGGUCUCUGCAGCCUGGGACUACAAUAUUUUGCUGGACUAUCUCCAGCAUUUCCCCAUCUUUCUUGUACUGGAGAGCCCAGCACUGACUCAUCACCCAGAUGUGCCUCAUCAGGGCUGAGCAAAGGAGCAGGACUUCCACUCUUGACCUGCUGGCAAUGCUCUGCCUGGUGCGCCCCAGGAGGCUGUUGGCUUUCUUCAAAGAAAGAAUAACAAUGAAGAAUUUUAGUGAUGUUUAAACAGUUCUGGUGGGUUUGGACCACACUAAAAGCUGUCCCCAGCUAAAAGUUGCUCCUAAGAAUCUAUAAACAAAUGUACAAAAUUUUUCAGAGUGUUAGUCUGCACUGCAGUGUAUGCCACUCCAAGAAAGCCGCAGAGGGACUUUCUGUAAGAGAUGUAGGCAUAGGACAAGGGGUAAUGGCUUUAAACUGAAAGACACUGCCCCAUACCUGGAAGUGCUCAAAGCCAGGUUGGAUGGGGCUCUGAGCAACUUGGUCUAGUGGAAGGUGUCCCUGCCCAUGGCAGGGGGGGUAAAACUAGAUGUCCUUUAAGGUGUCUUCCAACUCAAUCCACUCUACGAUUCUAUGAUUUUCACUAUUAUUGUUUCCUAUACUAGGAAACCAAGAUUAAUGUAGGCUUGCUUUAAGUGCUGUAGCUACACCCUUUGAUGUCAGUUUUUGCAACUACUUGGCGUUUUAAGCUAAAAUGCUGAAUUUUCAGCCAAUGUUACUGAUGUUCUAACAUAUGAUCCUUUCUGUCAAGUCUGCUGUGGGGUAGAAAUGGCAGAACAGAUGUGAAAACAAGAGGUAGUUUCUUAUCUUUAGUGUGAUAUUCUAAAGAUAGCACAGGAACAUCCUUAAUUUGGUGCCUUUAGUGGUGACUGAGCUAUUUUCUAAAUCUGUGGUAGUGAGCGCAUGUUGUAGCUUCAUGUUUUAGAGUUGUAAUGUCCCGUACUGUUUGUUGCUUUGGUCUUUCUGUCUGUAAGAGCUGAGAGCAGAACUGGCCUUAAUCUGCAAAAUGAUUUGCUAGUCUCAGCCCAUAAUGUGAUAGAUAACCUUGCUGCAUAAACAGCAUGAUUGACAAACACUUCUUGGGAGACUUCUAAUUUAAAAUCAAGAGGUCUGGAAAUAGCAGCUAAAGCAGCUACCGGAUAAAGCCUCAGCCACGCUUCCUCAUGGGCAUUUCUAGGAAACUUUAUCUCCAGAUCUGCUGAAAGGAGUGAAUCAACUGGUACAUCCCAGAACAUUUCUCUCGUUCUUUUGAGUCCUUCAUAAAAGGCACAGGAUGCAAUAAAAGCAGCCUUUCCCUAAAGAGAAUCAAUCAGCCAUCUAACUGCAUUUCCUUUCUCAAACAGAGAUCGGAUGCUGUACAAGAAAGCACAAAAGACAUUACAAAACAGCCUUCACACAAUGCAAGCUUCUUCCUAAUUCUCUAUAAUUAGAAUGACUUUUGAAUGAGAAACAGCCUGUACAAUUUGUGCAGCCUGAUAGACUUCCUGCUCCAAGGAGCUAUGAAAUAAUAACCUAGAGUGGGCUGCAUCAAACCUUCCCUUGCAGAAUUAAUUUUGUCUCCUGGACAUCAACGGGAGUUUUGUGAUGGAUUCAUAGCGUAUGUGGGCAGAGGGGAACACUGUGGUAACAGUUUGCUCUCUGUGUAGCAGAUUAUGAAGCUGACCCACGAAUUUUCACACCUAGACAAUUUCUGGUAGAGCAAGACGUACUCUUUCGGUCUCCAGUGUUUUCCCUUGGCUUCCUUCUCACCCUGGUGACAGCUGCAUAUGCUGCGUUGGUCCUAAAUCCAAAUGCUGACUGAUGCUAGCUGACAAAUCAGGAGACGUUUCCUGCUGAAAUGCUACUCAGUUUGCAUCAAGGUUGGAACCUUUGAAAACUUCACUUGCUGUAUUAUGUUCACACCACCAUUUAUAGGGAAUGGGAGGAAAUUACACUGUUGUUUCAAAACAA
Molecule: long non-coding RNA, 2197 nt
Filed under: Strigops habroptila (Kakapo)
Lineage: Eukaryota; Metazoa; Chordata; Aves; Psittaciformes; Psittacidae
Description: lncRNA (ENSSHBG00005017994.1)
Source: RNAcentral